This 268-nucleotide ribosomal RNA is filed under the name uncultured Glomus. RNAcentral's name for it is "partial small subunit ribosomal RNA". It matches the Rfam family "Eukaryotic small subunit ribosomal RNA", at positions 605 to 877 of the family's 1831-position model. Lineage: Eukaryota; Fungi; Glomeromycota; Glomeromycetes; Glomerales; Glomeraceae. The record is from RNAcentral.
UAAAGUUGUUGCAGUUAAAAAGCGCGUAGUUGAAUUGCGGGGUUAGUAGGUUGGUCGUGCCUAUGGUACGCACUGGCUUUACUGAUUCCUCCUUCUUGAAGAACUGUAAUGUCAUUAAUUUGGUGUUGCAGGGAAACAGGACUGUUACUUUGAAAAAAUUAGAGUGUUUAAAGCAGGCUAACGCUUGAAUACAUUAGCAUGGAAUAAUGAAAUAGNACGUUUGAUCCUAUUUUGUUGGUUUCUAGGAUUGACGUAAUGAUUAAUAGGG